GAAUUACUCUUGGAGUAGCAAUUGCUGGAUGUGCCUCUUUUGUUGAGGUGAUUGGAUCUUUUGGCAAAAACCAGUGACUGCAAAGGAUGAGAGAAACGAUCAGAAAAACUGAAAAGCUGUAGGAGACCAAACACUAGUGUCUCCCCUGCUUCAGGGGACACCCACUGUCAGAGUGAACGACAAAGACGCGCGUGGAUGAUUUGAAGAUAUUAGCCUAACAAGAUGGAAGCAGGUUUAAAAUUUUACAUAAGAAGUUACCUUUUUCAGCUGGUCCUAUAGUACCCCUCCUCAGGAAUGUCUCCCCAGUGCAAGGACAAAGACUGAAGAGACUGCUAUAUUGAUGGACUCUCAAGCCAACUAUGAAGUUGAAACAAAGAAAGUGAUCACCUGAAGACACCUCCUCUGCUAAGAAACACCCCCAAAUUGUGCAGCUUCUGCCACUAGAACUCUCAGAACAAGAGACAAUCUUUUCAAGAAACAGAAAAACUCAAUAAUGACAUCUAGAUUUUCAUGAGCCAAGAACUUUCCCUUCCUCAUGUGUAUUCCUCUGUUUGUACUUAAAUUCAUGUGACAUUCAUUUUUUUCCUAGUAUGGAUAUGCUUAUUAAUGCACUUGUUUCAAAAUCCCAAAUUGCACAAAUGUGUUAAUAUUUUAAGAAACAAAAUGAAUCCUACAAGGAGAAUGAUUUUUAGCCACACAUAGGGUUGGAUCUUGAGAGUGACCUACAGAAUAAAAGUACUUUUAAAAUAAAGUAGUCAGAGGCUAUUCAAAGGGUAAAAUAAUCAUAGUACCACAUUGGUCCACUUGACACUAACCAAUCGAUCAUUUUUUUUUAAUCAAGAAAGCUAGAUUCUAUCAGAUAAAAUCACUGCUUCUAAAGAGUUUAAAUCUAGUUAGAAAAAGUUAUAGAAAUGUUUGCAAAGAUAAGUAACAGAUAGAGUCAGUAGAGGAUAAGAUCAAAAACAAAACCAAGCAAAAGAUGAGUUCAGGGGAGUUUGCCAUCAAGUUGGCAAAACUGACUUACUUAGGGAAGAAAGUUAUAAAACAGGAAAAUAUGAGAUGAACCUUGAGUGAUGUGGAAGAUUUAGAUAAAUGGAAAGGAAGGAGAAAAUGGAGUUCUUUAGGUGGUUGUAAUUGGAGGAGGAAAUGAAUACACACAUCUUGUUGACUUAAACCCAGACAUUCAGCAGCUCUCUAUACAUAUCUGGAAAAGACUGCACAGUCACCUCCUGUCUCUCACCCCAGGUAUUACUUAGAAUUAUUAUCAUAUUUCCCUUCCUUUAAAGUAAGUAAGGGUGAUUGGUGACAAUAUGGAGAACUAUGAUUUUUCCAUUAACCUAAUAAUAAUUGGUAUUUAUUGAGUUCUGUUAAGCAUUUUACAUAUUAACUCACUUAAGCCUUUCAACAGCCUUGCAAAAUAGGUAUUAUUAUCCCCAUUUUACAGGCAAGAAAACUGAGGUUUAAGUAACUUGCCGAAGUGCCAUAUACAGGGCUCACAUUCAGUAUUGCAGUUGCAAAGCUCAUGAUCUAUAGUGCCAAGUUGCAAUAUUGUAGUCAAUGUCACAAUUAUUACCCCUUUUUAUAUUCCUUGAUAUUUUUCCAUGGCAAACAAUUAGCUAUUUCAUUUAAUAAUCACCUAAAACUUUUCAGUCUUCUGAUUAAAAUUACGCUGGAGUGAUAGAAUGUAUUUUCAUGAUAGAAAUUGGGAAAAAAAAUGGGGAAUGAAGUUUAUCAGCAUUUCAGACUUGUUUUUUUUUUUUUUUUUUGCAAGACUUUGAUGAGAUUGUUCACUUUUGUCUAUGUAAAAUCCCAAAUCCUUGAGAAUAAAAAAGGGGGAGGUUUAAGUCACUUGUUGCAAUGCCCUUUUUAAUAGAGGCAAUAAAUCUAAAGGCCAUAAAUUUAGAGUGACUUACAGAAGAUCGAACUUUGGAGUGUGGCAGAGUAAGGGAUGGAAACCGGGCCCUCCAGUUCACUAUCAGUAGCUUUUGCACUGGUCUGCCCUUCCUAAAUUAAGUAUGCACUUCAAUUUGAUGAGUGGAAACAGUCUAUCUGGGCAGUAACCAGGGAGCUUUGUGCCUAGUAGAUUGCUUCUGUUCUGCACUUCUUUGGUUUCCCACCUCAAUGUAAAAAAUAGCUAGCAAUGAAGUCCAGAAGUUGUCAAUGGUUCAUCCCCAGAAGAAUGCAUAAUGUCCAAAGUUGUAUGUGUAUGAUGUCUUCAAUGGUAUUAAGUUAUUUCAAAUUCUUAGUUCACCUACAUAAAUCAUUUCUAACAAGCAUCUUCUUAACCAACUUUAUGCACAGUGUAUGUUUGUAAGUGCUUCUGCACGAAUGUUUAUACAUGACUGUUUCCAUAGUACUUAUGUUUUUAAAAAUAUUCAGUCAUUUCCUACUAUAAUCCUCAUGUAUCCAUGUAACUGACUCAAAAAUACUUCAGCCACAGAAAGCUAAAACUGAGCAAAUCUCAUUCUUCUUUUCCAUCCCCUUUGCAUGUGGCUGGCAUUUAGUAAUGAUUAAUAAUAUGGCCAGCUGAAUAACAGAGGUUUGAGACACAAUUCUUUCUCAAAGGAGUCAGCUAAGCUGGGUCUACUUAUGGACAAACAUCUAAAUGUGUGGAAGUAUCUGAUAUUUGACAAUGGUAAAUUUCCACUUAGCUAGCUAGCAUUGUCAGACUUCAAUCUCCUCAUGGCUCUGGCCGUCCUGUUUUAAGCAUGAUAAUUGUUGGCCACAUCUCACAUAGUUCUCAUUGAGUGAGUUCAUAAAUAAACAGGGUUUUUUUUUUUUUUUAAAGAGCAGCCAAGCACAAAGUGUGACUUUGUUGACAUUUUAUGUGACUUUGUCAUAUGUUCCUAACCCCCAAUAAAAGCAAUGUUGCAUCAACUGUGAA
This 2884-nucleotide long non-coding RNA is filed under the name Homo sapiens (human). Its description in RNAcentral is "mir-100-let-7a-2-mir-125b-1 cluster host gene, transcript variant 14 (MIR100HG)". The record is from RNAcentral. Lineage: Eukaryota; Metazoa; Chordata; Mammalia; Primates; Hominidae.